This 564-nucleotide long non-coding RNA is filed under the name Eptatretus burgeri (inshore hagfish). RNAcentral describes it as "lncRNA (ENSEBUG00000017158.1)". The record is from RNAcentral. Lineage: Eukaryota; Metazoa; Chordata; Myxini; Myxiniformes; Myxinidae.
AGGUAACUGGUCACCAUGGUUACGCUGACACGUUUUAAUGCGGGAUGAUUUUGCGCGGGCACCAUGUUGGUUGGCGGACCGUGUGGGCAAGAUCGUGACCUUCAGUUGCAGUGGGUCAGAAUAGGGAGAUGGGACGUGAUGGACUGUAUAGUUGCUGGUGGAAUGUGAUAGAUUGUGGAGCUGCUGGUGUUAUCGUUGCAGGAGAGUUUCAGGGAAGAAGAUCCGAGUGUUUACAUACAGGCUGACUGACUCACGGCCUGACUGACUGACGGACACUGUGCUAUGCUGAUACCUCACCAAGAUUCUUUGUUCCAAAUGCAAUGGGAUCUUUUACGUCCACCAACUAAUGCAACACACGGCCAUCCGAGGGUAUGCCACACACCUUGAUGCCUCGCCCUGCAUGUGAAACAACAGCAUGAAAAUUUUAUCACUGUGUCGGGAUUCGAACACAUGUUGGACAGCUUGGAGUUGAGUGACACACCUCUCAGCUGUUCUUUCAGAAGAAGAACAAGCAGAAGAAGAACAGCGCGGAGCUCUCUUAGAGCCAAGCAACGCGACGCGGCU